UUACUUCAGCAGUACAUAUACUAAAAUUGGAACAAUACAGAGAUUGGCAUGGCCCCUACAUAAGGAUGACAAGCAAAUUCAUGAAGCAUUCCAUAUUUUU
Small nuclear RNA from Homo sapiens (human), 100 nucleotides. The record is from Ensembl. NCBI's taxonomy places the organism in Eukaryota, Metazoa, Chordata, Mammalia, Primates, Hominidae.